Molecule: ribosomal RNA, 842 nt
Filed under: uncultured archaeon
Lineage: Archaea
Description: bacterial SSU rRNA
Rfam family: Archaeal small subunit ribosomal RNA
Source: RNAcentral
GCGAGUCAUUGUAGCAAUACAAGGCAGACGGCUCAGUAACGCGUAGUCAAUCUACCCUAUGGACGGGAAUAACCUCGGGAAACUGAGAACAAUGCCCGACAGAACAUUAUACCUGGAACGGUUUAUGUUUCAAAUGAUUUAUCGCCGUAGGAUGGGACUGCGGCCUAUCAGUUUGUUGGUGAGGUAAUGGCCCACCAAGACUAUUACAGGUACGGGCUCUGAGAGGAGUAGCCCGGAGAUGGGUACUGAGACACGGACCCAGGCCCUAUGGGGCGCAGCAGGCGAGAAAACUUUGCAAUGUGCGAAAGCACGACAAGGUUAAUCCGAGUGGUUUCUGCUAAAGAAACCUUUUGCUAGUCCUAGAAACACUAGUGAAUAAGGGGUGGGCAAGUUCUGGUGUCAGCCGCCGCGGUAAAACCAGCACCUCAAGUGGUCAGGAUGAUUAUUGGGCCUAAAGCAUCCGUAGCUCGUUUUGUAAGUUUUCGGUUAAAUCCAUACGCUUAACGUAUGGGCUGCCGGGAAUACUGCAUAACUAGGAAGUGGGAGAGGUAGACGGUACUCGGUAGGAAGGGGUAAAAUCCUUUGAUCUAUUGAUGACCACCUGUGGCGAAGGCGGUCUACCAGAACACGUUCGACGGUGAGGGAUGAAAGCUGGGGGAGCAAACCGGAUUAGAUACCCGGGUAGUCCCAGCUGUAAACUAUGCAAACUCAGUGAUGCAUUGGCUUGUGGCCAAUGCAGUGCUGCAGGGAAGCCGUUAAGUUUGCCGCCUGGGAAGUACGUACGCAAGUAUGAAACUUAAAGGAAUUGGCGGGGGAGCACCACAAGGGGUGAAGCCUGCGGU